UCGCGGCUUAUCACCGGCAGUCCCCCUAGAGUGCCCAACUCAAUGAUGGCAACUAGGGGCAAGGGUUGCGCUCGUUGCGGGACUUAACCCAACAUCUCACGACACGAGCUGACGACAGCCAUGCAGCACCUGUGUCCAGGUUCCCUUUCGGGCACCCCCUCAUCUCUGAGGGGUUCCUGGCAUGUCAAGGGUAGGUAAGGUUUUUCGCGUUGCAUCGAAUUAAUCCACAUAAUCCACCGCUUGUGCGGGUCCCCGUCAAUUCCUUUGAGUUUUAGCCUUGCGGCCGUACUCCCCAGGCGGGGCACUUAAUGCGUUAGCUACGGCACGGACAACGUGGAUGUCGCCCACACCUAGCGCCCAACGUUUACAGCGUGGACUAC
Molecule: unclassified non-coding RNA, 380 nt
Filed under: uncultured bacterium
Lineage: Bacteria
Description: contains 16S-23S intergenic spacer region
Source: RNAcentral